RNAcentral lists this ribosomal RNA (253 nucleotides) under uncultured bacterium. RNAcentral describes it as "partial 16S ribosomal RNA". It matches the Rfam family "Bacterial small subunit ribosomal RNA", at positions 524 to 776 of the family's 1533-position model. The record is from RNAcentral.
UACGUAGGGUGCGAGCGUUAAUCGGAAUUAUUGGGCGUAAAGAGCUUGUAGGCGGUUGGUCACGUCGAAAGUGAAAACUCAGGGCUUAACUCUGAGCCUGCUUUCGAUACGGGUCGACUAGAGGAAGUUAGAGGAGAACGGAAUUCCUGGUGGAGCGGUGGAAUGCGCAGAUAUCAGGAGGAACACCGGUGGCGAAGGCGGUUCUCUGGGACUUUCCUGACGCUGAGAAGCGAAAGCGUGGGGAGCAAACAGG